RNAcentral lists this long non-coding RNA (40804 nucleotides) under Pelobates cultripes (western spadefoot toad). The record is from RNAcentral. Lineage: Eukaryota; Metazoa; Chordata; Amphibia; Anura; Pelobatidae.
GCAGGAUUUAACAAGACUGAGUUCUACUAUACACUGCUUCAUUACGGUAGGGCACAUAGAUUUGUUUUAUUAUACUAUUAUAUUUUUAUAUUAUGAGAUGUACCCACAUAAAUGUGUAUGCUUGCUUUGUGAAGAUUGUAAUUCCUUUGUGCUAUACAUUUUCAGUACUAAAAGAGUAAUACAUUGCAGCACUUUUAGAUGUGUGUCCUAAAUUGGAGAUCUACAUGGAGUUUGGGUGGCUCAUUGCGCAUUCCAAGUAUUACAUUAAUAUCAAACAUACAUACUUUUAUUGUUGUUGUUUUUUAAAUUCCAUUAGUUUUUUUCGAUGAAAGUGUUUAAACUGAUUGUAGGGCCUCUAUGCCUUGUUCCUGUGUCUUUUGACUUCUGACAUGGUAAUUUGUAUGUAUAUUAGAUUUAUAGCAUGGUGCUACUGAAAAUACUGCUGCUCUACUAAGAAACUGAUAAUGGUGUUAAACUAAUUUACCUGUGCAUAUUAAGAAUGUAUAAUUGGAGCAUGUGGAAAUUUAUAUAUGUUGGGCAUAUUACACAUCGAUUCACAAACAGCUCAAUGUAGAUUUCAGACCCCAGUGGCACAAAAUUCUCAGGCUCAACUAAAAAUAAAAAAGCAGAACUACCUGCUGGAAUCCAUCUAAUCUUCAUUGUUUUUCUUGUACUGAGGAACAAGACUUAUAUUGAUAGUUUUACUAAAGUUAAAGGAACACUAUAGUCACCUAAAUUACUUUAGCUAAAUAAAGCAGUUUUAGUGUAUAGACCAUUCCCCUGUAAUUUCACUGCUCAAUUCACUGUCAUUUAGGAGUUAAAUCACUUUGUUUCUGUUUAUGCAGCCCUAGCCACACCUCCCCUGGCUAUGAUUGACAGAGCCUGCAUGAAAAAAAACUGGUUUCACUUUCAAACAGAUAUAAUUUACCUUAAAUAAUUGUAUCUCAAUCUCUAAAUUGAACUUUAAUCACAUACAGGAGGCUCUUGCAGGGUCUAGCAAGCUAUUAACAUAGCAGGGGAUAACAGAACUUGCAAUAAAGAAAGCCUAAAUAGGGCUCUCUUUACAGGAAGUGUUUAAAUAGGGCUCUCGUUACAGGAAGUGUUUAUGGAAGGCUGUGCAAGUCACAUGCAGGGAGGUGUGACUAGGGUUCAUAAACAAAGGGAUUUAACUUCUAAAUGGCAGUGAAUUGAGCAGUGAGGCUGCAGGGGCAUGUUCUAUACACCAAAACUGCUUCAUUAAGCUAAAGCUGUUCAGGUGACUAUAGUGUCCCUUUAAUCUUACACGUUUGCUUGUUGCUAGGAUGGCACAACAUGUAUAUGAAAUUAAUAGCAGUACAAAGCAUAACUCUAUCUGGUUUCCCCUAACAGCAUACAUAUACAUUCUAGCAGUCCUGGAUUCAUUUUGGGGUCCUGUCUGACAUCACAAGAUUGUACAAUGGCAUGCUACUUAUAGGAGCUACACAUAGCUGGCAUUUAUUGGGUGCAUUAUUGACUUUCACAUGAGGUCACAUAAAAUUACUAAAUAGUUGCACCUCCUGGUUACUUCUCCAACCACACCCCAUAAAAUUAAACUGGGUGUCCUUGGCCAUAUGGCCAGCUGGGAGAUAUGUGACAGUAUCCCUUUCACAUUCUGUUUGGGGCAUCCAAGUGCUUUGUUUCUUUAUACUAGAACUACUACAACACUUAGUAAAAAAAAAAAAGAAAAGAAAAAGCAAUCUAUAGAGUACCUGAUUUUCACACUGUGCUUAUUAUAAAACAAUAUGCUGGUCAUCAGGAGUGUCCAAAUGGUAGAUCACGCUCCAAAGAUUGAAGGAGUAUCCAGAAGAUUUUAGAUCUAAUCUCUCCAUUCUAAACCCACUGUCUAUAUCUACAGCGGCACAAACUAACGCCGGUGUGGUUGCACCAGGGCCCAAAUGCUGAAGGGCCAUCUGGUGGGCAUUUGUCUUCAAGAGCCCAGUCGUAAGCUGUGGCCUUUUAACAACACGACUGGACUCUUCUAACAUCUUUACCCAGCUCUGGAAGGAAGUGAAUGCGUGAAUAGCAGUAUGUGCAUCUGAAUGUGUGAUGUGUGUCAGUUUUGUAUCUGUGUGUCUGUGUUUUUGCAUGUGUGUCAGUGUGUGUAUUUGUAUGUUUGUGAAUCUGCAUGUGCAUCAGUGUUUGUUUUUGUGUCUAUGCAUCUGUAUAUAUGACAGUGUUUGUAUAUGUGUAUUUGCACACUUUAAAGUGUGUUUCUGUGUAUCUCCGUGUGUUAGUGUGUUUCUCUGUGUAUCUGUAUGUGUGUCAGUGUGUGUAUAUGUGUAACCGCGUGUGUGCAUAGAUCUCAGAAUUCAGUGCUAACACUAAACAUAAAUAUAGCUCUGCAUUCAAAAAUCAACACUACACACAAAUUCACGCCUGCAUUAAAAUGCCAGCACUACAUACAAGUGCACCAUUUCUUUCAAAUGAAGAUUCCCAGCUGGAAAAGCAUUGUGGUACUUGUGUGACUAUAAGGGUCUACAUUUUGGACACCUUUGUGAUAUAUAAUGGCAUAAUUAGAAAAGUAAAUGGGAGCAAUGAGCUGCAAGUAAUUUCUGUAGUAUACAGCUCACCCCUAGAGCUAUCAAAAGGUUAAUGGCCAUUUCUGACGGUAUUAUUUAAAGGGAAUAUACAUUGCAAAAGCAAGCAGAGCAAGGCUGAUGCGUUUACCCAUAAUUCUCGGCGGCACCACAGUUUCUGAAUGAACCAGACAUGUAAAUUUCUUUACCCUCUUCUCCUUUAUUACAGUUUUCACAGUUGAUGAUUUUUAAUCACUUUUCAACCCGGCCAUAACUGUCUGUUGUAUUGGGAAAAGGGCUGAUGAAUUGUGAAAGGAAUAUACAGUGACAGGGGGUUUUCAAUAAUUCAGUGUGUUGAGCAAUAAGUAGUAAAGUCAAUGCUAUCACAUAGCUGUUUGUAAAUAUAGAGAUGUACAAGACAUAUCAGUGUAUGCACUCCCUAAAUGUCUACUUAUGGGCAUUAUCUCUAAAAGAUAGAGAGGGGCCAGGUUGAGAAAAGCUCCAUAUUACUUGAAGUUCAGGGUCUCUGCCAAUCCAGCUGUUGUUGACUACACUUCGCCUUGAAUUUAGUAAGCAGUUGCUAUUGGAUUGCUCCUCUUUCUGGAAUUCAAGUGCUUAAGUCAGAUAUGAAUGUCAUCCUACUCCCAUAGCCCCAAAUUACCCCUAUAACCCACACCCUCCCUUUUCAUUCAGUAAUUCUUCUCCCUGAGUCGAUGUAUUGAUUGGGAUAAUUGGUAAGAAUGAACUCACAUCAGGUUCUAUGUGGACUUGGAAAAUGGCUUUGGUUGCUGAAGAGCUUUUUGCCCUUUUAAGGCAUUUGAAAUUCCCACCAGGCUCAUUAACUGUGUCUGUGAGGAGUCAGAUCGGCACAGUGUCAAUACACUAAGUAAAAACUAAGCAGAUCAUCAGACUCUGAGAGCAAGAGACGCAUACUAUAUCUACUGACCCUUAUCCUAUGCCUGGCUUCCUGUCUUUAUUAAGAGUGCUAAAUCAGCAAAGAUCGUGGUUGUAAGUACAGCUUACCAAUAAAAAAACAUUUCUUAGAAAGCUCAGAAAAACAGUUUCUUUGAGUUCAAAAAAUCCUUUUCAGAAUCAGAAUGGGUUUAUACAAUUCUUGAGACAGAUUCAAGAACUACAAAUAAGUGUUAUAGGCCAUUUCGUAAAGGCAAACAAAAACUCUGCUUCGUAUACAUCACUCGAAUUGCCAUAGGACCUGUCUUUAUUUGUAUUCCCAACUGCAAAAAUAAUGUAACAAUACUCUAGCAAACAGUGUCAACAUUCAACUUGACAAAUUAAUCUUAACUGAAUUCUCUAAAGAAUCUAUUAAAGGAAUAUUCCAAGCAUUAGUACGUUGUAGGAACAUAAAUGGGAAUCCAAAGCGUCUCUUAGCCAAUGAGCAUGGCCAUGUUGUUUUGUAGCUNNNNNNNNNNNNNNNNNNNNNNNNNNNNNNNNNNNNNNNNNNNNNNNNNNNNNNNNNNNNNNNNNNNNNNNNNNNNNNNNNNNNNNNNNNNNNNNNNNNNUCAUCCAGCACUCACACACCCAUCAUCCAGCACUCACACACCCAUCAUCCAGCACUCACACACACAUCAUCCAGCACUCACACACACAUCAUCCGGCACACACACAUCAUCCAGCAGUCACACACACAUCAUCUGGCACACACACACAUCAUCCAGCACUCACACACCCAUCAUCCAGCACACACACCCAUCAUCCAGCACACACACACCUAUCAUCCAGCACACACACACACACACACACACACAUCAUCCAGCACACACACACCUAUCAUCCAGCACACACACACACACACCUAUCAUCCAGCACUCACACACCCAUCAUCCAGCACACACACACCCAUCAUCCAGCACACACACACCCAUCAUCCAGCACACACACACCCAUCAUCCAGCACACACACACAAAUCAUCCAGCACUCACACACACAUCAUCCAGCACACACACACCCAUCAUCCAGCACUCACACACCCAUCAUCCAGCACACACACAUCAUCCAGCACACACACCCAUCAUCCAGCACACACACACCCAUCAUCCAGCACACACACACCUAUCAUCCAGCACUCACACACCCAUCAUCCAGUACUCACACACCCAUCAUCCAGCACACACACACCCAUCAUCCAGCACACACAUACACACACCUAUCAUCCAGCACUCACACACACACACACAUCAUCCAGCACUCACACACACACACAUCAUCCAGCACUCCACACACACACACACACACACAUCAUUCAGCACACACACACACAUCAUCAGCACUCACACACACACAUCAUCCAGCACUCCCACACACACACGUCAUCCAGAAGCCCAGCACACACCGCGUCAUCCGUAGCGCCACACACACAUCAUCCAACUGCGCUGCAUUCAUUAUAUACACACUCUUCACUCACUACAAACACACUACAUUCACUAUACACCCUCUGCAUUCACUAUACACACACUCUGCAUUCGUAUACACAUUCUGCACUCACUACACACUACAUUCACUAUACCUCGCAUUCACUACAAACACACUACACACCUGCAUUCAUUAGCCACCUCUGCACUCACUACAAAACACUAAAUUCAUUAUACACAAUUUACACUUACUACAAACACACUACAUUCAUUAUACACACUCUGCACUCACUACAAACACACUACAUUCACUAUACACACUCUGCACUCACUACAAAAACACUACAUUCACUAUACACACUGCAUUCAUUAUACACACUGCACUCACUACAAAUACACUACAUUUGUUAUACACACUGCACUCACUACAAAUACACUACAUUUGUUAUACACACUGCACUCACUACAAAUACACUACAUUCAUUAUACACACUCUGCACUCACUAAAAACACACUGCAUUCAUUAUACACACUCUGCACUCACUCUGCACUCACUAAAAACACACUGCAUUAAUUAUACACACUCUGCACUCACUACAAAUACACUACAAUUAUUAUUCACACUGCACUCACUGCAAACACACUACAUUUAUUAUUCAUACUCUGCAUUCACUACAAACACACUACAUUCAUUAUACACACCCUGCACUGCACUAUAUGCAUAGGAGUGUAAUUUAAAAAAAAAUAAAAUAAUUUUAAGGGGGUGGGGGGGGGGGAGGCGGGAAUCUUGGGUGAGUUCCCACACCUUUUUCCCCAGGACUUGACCCCUGAGAGGAAUGAUCUAUAAACUAAAACUGCUUUAUUUAGCUAAAGUAAUUUAGGUGACUAUGGUAUUUCUUUAAGCAUUUCAGCAAGCUAAAGUUCUUUAGGGGUCUGGAGUGUCCCUUUAAUAAUAAAUCAGAAUAUUUAACAGAAAUGCUAUACACAGCAAUUUUAUUUAGCAGCUUUUAUUUACUGGGUUACAAGUAGGGAUCGACCGAUUAUCGGACUGGCCGAUGUAAUCGGCCGAUAUUCUGUAUUUUCGACAAUAUCGGUAUCGGCCAAUAGAGAUACCAAUAUUGCCGAUAAUGCAGACUAGACCGCCGGGCCCAUGAAAAGCCCGGUCCUGGAGGGCCCGCAGCACACACUUACCUUCCCAGAAGCUCCCUUCAGCUCCCUGUCUAAAUCUUGCGAGUCCCAGACAGGGGAGCUGAAGGGAGCUGCUGGGAAGGUAAGUAAGAGCUUGCUAUGGGCCCCCACUGCACAGUCCAUACCACCAAACCACCAGGGAAUGCCAUACUUCCCCUUCCUGGCCAAGAAAGAAGCAGGGAGGGGGGGGAUUUAAAAAAUAAUAAUAAUAUUUUUUUUAAAAAUUAAGUAAAAAUACAUUUAAAAAACAUACCUAUACAAACACACACACUCUGCAUUAUAUAAACACACUACACAAACACACUGCAUUCCCUAUACACACAUUACACACACACACUCUGCAUUCAUUAUAUACACAAACUGCAUUCAUUAUACACACCCACUGCAUUCACUAUACACACACUACACAAGCACACACACUCUACAUUCAUUAUAUACACACACACUACACAAACUGCAUUCACUAUACACACACUACACACACUGCAUUCACUAUACAAACACACAGUGCCUUCACUUUACACACACCACACACUACAUUCCCUAUACACACACUACAAAAUGCACACACUCUGCAUUCAUUAUAUACACACCACACAAACACUCACUGCAUUCACUAUACACACUACACAAACACACUCUGCAUUCAUUACAUACACACUACACAAACAUACACUGCAUCCACUACACACACACUACACAAACACAUACACUGCAUCCAGUACACACAUACUCCAUCCACAAUACAAACAUACACUGCAUCCACUACACAAACACACACUGCAUUCACUAAUCAAAUACUCUCACUGCAUUCUUGAAAACAUAAAAAUUCUGACUGGCAUGCAUAUUUUGUGCAUUCACCUUAAUAAAAAAAAGAUUUGCAAAAUAAAAUUAAUAAUAAACAUGUUCAGUUAACAGUAGAUUUGUGUAGAAAUUGUUUAUUUAAAAAAAAAUGGUAAAUGUACAGAAUAUCGGUAAGUUAUCGGCCUGAAANNNNNNNNNNNNNNNNNNNNNNNNNNNNNNNNNNNNNNNNNNNNNNNNNNNNNNNNNNNNNNNNNNNNNNNNNNNNNNNNNNNNNNNNNNNNNNNNNNNNGUUCACAGAUUACCGGUAUCGGCUCUAAAAAAAAUCAAUAUUGGUCGAUCCCUAGUUACAAGCAUGUCCUGGGAUACUGAUAUUAUUUUAACUAAAUCAGAAUGUCAUUGUGUACAUAGAACAGUUGUCAAUAAAUAAUUACCUUUCUCUUCUACAGAACCUCUUUGAAAGCAGCAGUUGUAGAGAAUGUUUCUGUUAACCAUAGUGAAAUGAAACCUAUUUCCACAGCUCUUCUUCAUUUAUUAUUUAUUAUUAUUACUGGUAUUUAUGAAGCGGGAACAUAUUCCACAGCGCUGUACAGUUGGGAAAAAAGACAAACACAAUAAGACCAGACUGAUACAACAGGUAGAGUACCUUAUCUGUGAGCUUACAAUCUUUCUAAGAUAACUUAAAGGACCACUAUAGUGCCAGGAAAACAUACUCGUUUUCCUGGCACUAUAGUGCCCUGAGGGUGCCCCCACUCUCAGGGUACCCCUCCCGCCGGUCUCUAGGGGGGUGAAGGGGUUAAACUUACAUCUUUCUCCAGCACCAGGGGGGGAACUCUCCUCCUCCUCGGCUGAAUGCGCAUGCGCGGCACGAGCAUUCAGCCAGUCCAUAGGAAAGCAUUCACAAUGCUUUCCUAUAGACGCUGGCGUUUUCUCACUGUGAAAAUCACAGUGAGAAGCGCGGAAGCGCCUCUAGCGGCUGUCAAUGAGACAGCCACUAGAGGCUGGAUUAACCCUAUUAUAAACAUAGCAGUUUCUCUGAAACUGCUAUGUUUAUAGAAAAAAGGGUUAAUCCUAGCUGGACCUGGCACCCAGACCACUUCAUUAAGCUGAAGUGGUCUGGGUGCCUAUAGUGGUCCUUUAAGGUUUAGGGAGUUACAGAGCACAAAAAUAAUUCUUGCAUAGUCCGUCCAAUCUAGGAUAUGUUUUAAUGCAAAUACAAUACUUGAGUGCGCAUGGCUACCAGCUACCUAAAAGGACUCUAUGGAUUUACAAUUCCAAAGUAAAUGUGGUCAAAUAGGAAGAUCUAGUCUCUGAAGCAGGUACUGACAGAAGAGCACUAAAGUCUUAGCAGAGGUAGACAAACAAAGGCACUCCAGAUGUUGCGGACUGCAUUUCUUCUGAUGCUUUGCCAGCAUUAUGGGUGUAAGAGCAUUAUGGGAGAUGUAGUCCACAUUAUCUGGAGUGCCAAAGGUUACCUAUACCUGUUAGACACUGGAUUUAUCAUACCUGCCAGUAUGUAUCCUAUGAGUUGUCACAUCAUUUUUGAUUUAAUCUGGAGAUAGAAAACUUCCUGCUCUUUAAUUAUAUCAAAACUUCGUAAAAAUGCAAGCCCACCAUGGAUGCACACAACACCUAAGAUAAAAUGGUGCCUUAGAAUCACUAAACUUAUAUCUGCUCCUUACAAUAAUUCUGCAUAACAUCCAAAAUACAGCAGCAAGCAACAAUCAUGACCAAAAUAGAUUUCUAUGACUCAGUAAGUUGUAAAAUGACCCAAAAAUAGUAUCUGUGCCAUUUAACCUGAAGCAAUAACUUUCAUUUCUACCCUUUUCCUGUAAUACAAGCUGGCACUUGGGUAAUUAGCAGAUGCCCAACAUUCAUCUGUAUUUUAAACAAGGAUAAAGAAAGUUUAAAAGAUUCAUGCUGGGCCGAGUUCAUGAAAUCUGGAAUAGGAGUCUGCUUUGUGAGAUAAAGAGUUUUUUUAUAUAUAGAAUAGAAGGAUUAUAUAAAACAUAGAUUUAGCUAAUAACUUGUGAUUAGGGAAUUUGGAAGGAUGAUAGGUAGGCAGAAUAGAUUUUUUCAGCAAAGCAGAGAGAGUUGUACUGAGUUAACAUAAAACAAUUGGCAUUGUUGUUGGUAGGAUAGGCUACGUGUGGUUCCUGAAAUAGGAAUAAUGUAUGUAAAAAAGAGAGAGAGAGACAGAGAAUGAUGGAGAGAAUGAUAGAGAUUGGUGGGUGAUAGUAUGAUGGGGGGAGAUCUGUCGGGAGUAUGGGAGGCCUAUAUGACAGCGGUUAAUAAUUGGGCAGGGGGCAUACUACAAUCUGGGGUUGUACAAUAUAGACAGAGGAAAGGAUUAUAAGAGACAGCAGCCACCGGGGUAUGUCAUGAAUCAAGGGGGGCUCCUCAGUGGUACAGAGACUAAGGGGGGCGGGUUUUGGGGGGACAGACGUGGGAACUGGGAGCCGGUGAGGAGAAGUAGACAUGAUGAGAGAAGAGAGAGAAAGCGAGGAGGAGGAGAGAGUAGCCAGGAGAUGGAGAGAUCAGAGAGGGAAGGCAGGGAGGGAGGGAGGCGGUGGAGGAGGGGAGAGCAGGAGGAGGGUUGAGGGAGGAGGAUGAGGGAAGUGCUCAGUGUGAUCAGAGGCCGUCCUGCUCCCGGGCUACUCAUGGACUUUCCCGGAGCCUCCGGCCACCACAGCUGGACUAUCGGGUCAUAGGGGGAGAGUGCACCCCCAGCCAAGGGUGAGUGGGGGAACCUCAUACAACAUCACUGUGCGGGGAGGGUGAGCGGGAGUCAUCAUCACUGACACAUCCAAAGGGGGUGAGGAGGGGGUGUCACUGGAUUCCACGCUGGUACCCACUCCAGGGUUCAGAGCUGGACCAGCAGCUGGCAGGACACACUGGAAGUGGGGGUAUUGCCAGUCUGGACUCAGCCCUGUGUGCCUGCAGAGCCGGGCUUCUUCUAACUGGGAACCCGAGUCUGCUACUGGGAGCCUGCAUCUUUAACCGGGACAGGGGCUGGCUAACUUAGAGCAGCAUCUUUACCUGGAGUCACUGGCACAAAGUGGCCAUCAGGUACUAUUACAUCUGAUCUGGACAGAACUGCCAGUAAUGUUAUCAUAACGUCUGUUAUAUCGAGAUAUUGUGUGCAUUUGUGUCAUUUUAUGUGCUAUAUACACACACUCACUAUAUAUCUAUAUAGAUUUAUACCAACACACACAUAUCAUACACAACACACAUCGAUCUACCUAGUAUUNNNNNNNNNNNNNNNNNNNNNNNNNNNNNNNNNNNNNNNNNNNNNNNNNNNNNNNNNNNNNNNNNNNNNNNNNNNNNNNNNNNNNNNNNNNNNNNNNNNNUUGUUCAGGUGUGAAGAGCAGUUGGCAAUGGCAUGAUAUGAUUGUCCAAUUUAAAAUAAAUAUUUUUUUCCUGUCAGUUUGUAAUAAAGGGGUAUCUGUAACUUGCACGGGUUUCUCAAACCUGGACNNNNNNNNNNNNNNNNNNNNNNNNNNNNNNNNNNNNNNNNNNNNNNNNNNNNNNNNNNNNNNNNNNNNNNNNNNNNNNNNNNNNNNNNNNNNNNNNNNNNCAUCAUCUGAUCUGCUUCACCUUGCUCUAAGUGCUUGGGAGUAUGAGUUGGCUUUUAUCUUAUUUGUAACUGAGUAUCUCUGUUUCUAAACAGCUCCUCUCCUACUAUCUGCUACUGGGGCUUUGCUCAAUAUCUGGUUACCAGUGUUCGCUUAGUGUUAUCCAUUCUAAAUACUAUCUGAUUGUUGAAUACAUGUAAUUGGAAUUGUUACUAGGCAUUACUAUGUACCUGGGAACUAUUAAAUGUGGCCAGGAAGGUGUGACUGUAAUUUGUGUCUAUCUAUACUGUUAAAUGUGGCCAGGAAGGUGUGACUGUAAUUUGUGUCUAUCUAUACUGAUAUCCCUGUACCAUACAUGGGAACUAUUAAAUGUGGCCAGGAAGCUGUGACUGUAAAUCGUGUCUAUCUAUACUGAUAUCACUAUGUGCAAAUGCUGAAAUAGUUACUUUGCAUUAUAAUGGACAAUAACAUGAGAUGUUGAUUUUCUAUAUUUAAAGAUCCUUCAAAUGAUUGUUUUUAUUUGUCUUAUCAAGAAAAAGAAGUUUUAAGUUGAGACCAAUCAUAUAAAGUGAAUAUUUGUUUUCCUAUUCUCUGAUGAUGGUACCCAUUUAUUGGGCUAAAUAUACUAUGCCAGAUUGAGUACCGGUAAACAUUUAGAGCAAUUAUUGGUGUCUUGGAGAUUCUGCAUAUUUACUGGAACCUUUAUAUGCUAAGGCUAUUAAAACCUGUAUAUACCACUGGGAAGCCAUUAGAAACUAAUUUGGCAUAUGUUAUGUGUAUGUUUCCGGGAUCUGUCUAUGCUUUGGAGCCGUUGUCAUUAGAAAUAUACAGUAAGAGAAAAUGAAUAUACACAGACAUAGAACAGUCCUUCCCUUGCAUUCUUAGGUACUUUCAGUCACUAUUCAGAACAGUGUACCUUUUAAACUGGAAGCUAUCUUGAAGUGCAAGUUUUGUUCACAGGUAGACAUAGACUUUUAUAUGUUAUAUCUUUGAUUUAAUCUGAAAUAGAUAGAUAGAUAGAUAGAUAGAUAGAGAUUUGUCUAGAUUGUAUGCCCUAAAAUUAAAGUGAUUUUGUUUUACUAAGCAGUAUAUUGCAGUGAAUUGAAAACUGAAGUUUCAAAAUGUAGGUCAGAAUAGCAAACCUCAGAAUUUUAGAAACAGAUUUAUUUUGUCCCUAAUCAUCGAAAUGUGGUUUUUGUGCACAAUAAUCCAAUGUUUAGCAGAUAAACCCCUCUAUGUACAUACAGGUAUAUGUAUGCAAUAGUUCUGUUAAAUGAGAAGUCAUUCAUUAUUUACUGUCUUCAAAUCUUAACCCCUUAAGGACACAUGAAAUGUGUGACAUGUCAUGAUUCCCUUUUAUUCCAGAAGUUUGGUCCUUAAUGGGUUAAAGUGCAGAAGCAAUUAUCUUAAAUUAUUUUAACAAUCAAUGUUGUACCAAUAUGAGUGUGUCUGCAGGUGUAGUGUACAAUGUAUAUCAUAGAACAUGCAUAGCUUUCAAAAUAAUGUUUGCGCGUGCAUCUUCAUGCAUUACACACAGCAAAACUUCCACCAACCUGUAUUGCGUACCUUCGCUUGUUCUGAUAAUCAUAAAUUGUAAAAGUGAAAUUUUAUGCAUCUCUGAUUCCUGAGUUUGUCUGACAUGGGUAUCAGUGCUUACAACAGUGUUUCAGACUCUGUGACUCGGAGUCAGUGAUUUGCUGAGAAUUUGUAAUUGGGUGUUCUGGGAAAUGUACAUAAACAGUUUUGCUCGAGUUGUGUGUUUGAACAAAAAGGAAAAAUUUACCCUGGAAUAAAUAAAAACUACAUUACAUCCUUUACAUGGAACAAGCUAUGUGAUAUUGCAGUAAAAGUUGAAAAUGACCUAACAGUGAUUCUUCUAUCUAGCCUUUGUUUUAUAUUAAUAUUUCUUUAUUUAUUACUGGUAUUUAUAAAGCGCCAACAGAUUCCGCAAUGCUGUACAAUUAGAUAGAAUAGAAACCUGUAGUACAUUUAUUAUACGUAUUGUUUUUUUUUCGAAGAACUAAUAUAAAAUGUUAGUAUUUUUUUUGUAGUUUUCUUUUUAAGCAAGGCACGGGUUAGUCAUAUAUUCUCAAAAACAAAGUCAACUUGUAAAAAGUUCUACUUGAAUUGCUUUUCAAUUUAUCUUUAGUGCCUGGAUGGUUCUUAUCCCAGGAGCUGAAAGGGUUAUAUGGCAGACAGAUAUUAUUUCCAAGGGUUACGAUAAAUUCCUGCUGAGCUAUUUUAGCCUUAAGUCAGAAUUCAUUCCAAAUGACAGUCUAUUUUAGAGUUAGGUCCAAGAUGGCUACAAGAUACAGGAGUAAAAAUAAGUGUGGAUCUAGUUCUUGUGUUGUGCUCACAAGGGGAAGCUCUGGCUUUUGAAAGGGUUUCAUAGUUCAAAAUUCUGUAAGUUAUUCUAGUCAAAAUUAUUUCAGAUUUCCAUUAAAAGAAAAUUUUAAACCAGCAUACAACUCCAUUUUGCAUUAUAUCAUAUAAUAACAUUAUUGCUUUAUCAGAAGAAUCACUACCAGUUGUGUUUCUAAUACCUAUUUCCUUUUCCAAAACCCUUGGGUUCUCUUCGGUCUCUUUCUUCUGUUAACUUAUUACCUAGUUAUUGUCUACAUUUUUUAUAUAUCUUCAUUUUAUCUUCCUUUUUUGUAUUAUUUUUUUCUGCCUCCGUUUUUCCUCCUCAAUAUCUCUGUUUUUCUUAUAUUUCACAUUCUAUCUUGUUCAAUACAGCUUAUGUAGUGGUGAGUCUAGUAGUAUCUCAUGGAAGUCCUGCAGUAGAUACCUUCUUAAAGGUUCAUGUUUAAAUUCAAAGUUAUGCAAAUUCUUAAAUAAAUGAGUCUUGUAGAUCCUUAUGUGUGUUCCCAAGUAAACAACAUUGCUAGUUUCACUCGUAGGUUCCCAAGUAGUUGAGUUCCGAAGUAAGUAAGUCUUGUGUAUUAGCCUGUACGUUCCCAAAAAAGCAAAUCUCCAAGUAUGGACAUCUGGUGAGGUCUCUUGUAAGUUCUAAAGUAGGUCAGUUACCAAAUAUAUGAUUUUAGUUGAUUAUUAUAUUAGUUCCCAAGUAGAUGAGUCUGUUUAGAUAAGAAGAUUAGAAAUGAUAUCAUGCUGUAAUUAGUUGGGUGGCACCACCAUCUUUACCUUGAGCAGAUUUUCAACUCCUCUAAUCCUGAUUUAGACUGUAAGUCUUGAACAGGUCUAUAUGGAUCAGUUACUCUUCACAGGCUUUGCCAAUAUUCUCAUUUGAAACAAAAUAGAGUGAUCAGUAAAUUCUGGACCAUCGUUGGUGCUCGUAGACUACUAUGGCAUGUACUGCUUCAGAGAAUAUUAUUUAUCUGAUAUAGGGAUAUAACCCAGGCUUUUUUCAAACUUUCAUUACUUUUUCUAUCUUUGUUUUUGUUGUUUGUUUUUUGGUAGGAGGCUUCAGAUACUUUUUUUUUUUUUUUUAAACAAAGAGCGCCAUUGAAUAUGCGCUCACCAGGAAUUUAGAUACAUUAAGCAUAUGAAAUAAAAUACUUUUUGUUUUUCUCUCUUUUUUUUUUUUUUUUUUUUACAGUACAUGCAAAUGAGCCAAGAUUCACAGGCAUGCAGAUGUCAAAUGUGCUGAUUCAUGGAUUUGCAAAAAAUAAAUAAAAAAUAAAAUGUAUUGUACUUGUAAAUUUAAAUAUUAUGGAUUGCUUUCAAAUUAGAACAUCUCUGCAGAUUUAUAAAUGUGGCAAAGCACUGUUGAAUGAAUGUUGUAAAUGUUGCUCAUUUCUCUAAUUAAUAGUACUAAGCUUCCACCUGCUAUUAUCACUCCAGAACAGAAUAUAAACAUAGGUAUUUGUAUGUUAAACAGUGUUUAAUGGGGAGGAGGGGGUCGUGUUUGUUUAUAUUAACAUAUUAGUUAUAUAACAUACAAUUUAAUAUUUGUGGAUAUAUAAGAUUAAAUUAGAGGCGUGAAACCUAUUUUAUUAAAAAGACAAAAAAGCUAAGAACAAAAAAAUAUGCCUUAUAUUCCCCACCACACAAAAAAUACAGUGCACGUAAGUACUGAGAUGUCUGGCAAAUGUUUAAAUGUGCUGAUUCACAGCUAUGGAACAUUUUUUAAAAAAUCUAUCGAAAUUGUAAAUUGAAUUAUUAUGGAUUGUGUUCAAAUCAAAACAUCUCUGUAGAUCCAUAAUAAUGACAAUACAGUGUUGAAUGAAUCUUGUAAAUGUUUAACACAUCUCUAAUUAACAGCCGUAAUUCCUCCACCUGCUGUUAACUGUCUGUAUAUAAAAGUAAAUUAAACAUUGGCAUUGGUGUGAGUUGAGCCGUGUUGCCUAUCUUUUAAUAGAAAGCCACAGCUAGUGCUGUAUACACUACAAGUAGUGCCUGGGGAGGAGCACGCGGUUGGCAGACCUCUUUGUUGACAGUACACAUUUACCAUAUGGAGAUGGAAUGGGCUGUUUACAUCAGUAGUACUUAACCCCUUAAGGACCAAACUUCUGGAGUAAAAGGGAAUCAUGACCUGUCACACAUGUCAUGUGUCAUUAAGGGGUUAAAAGGGACACAAAUUAUAUACAUGGCAUUGUAUUAGAGACACAUUCUUCCAAAUAACUUUGAAAAUAAUUCUCAGGUAUACUAACAAUUUUUAAAAGAAGGUAGAAUAAAAAAAUGUAAAGUGUUGAGAAAGAUGGAAACUUGGCAUGGUUAAAAGAAACUUACAUCACAUUCGUAAACAUGAUUCCAUCUACCUCCAAAUUCUGUAAGUAUAUUGGGCCACCUUAAGAGUCAAUUUACCAUAUAUCUGAAGAUUGGAUAUGAUUGCUUUCUUGAGUGUAAAAUUCCUCAUGUAUCUUAAGUGUAUAAUGCAAAUUACCCACCCCUUGUAAACCGCCUUAAGACUGUGCUAUGUUCUUGGGCACCCUUCAGUUUCCUUCUGAUAGGUAGAAUCAUUGCAUUGAAGAUGACACUUCUACCAAAAAUGUAUCAUCACUUUCCUGUAUUACACAGUCGGUACCUAAAACUGGUACUUUCCAACAAGCUAUCUAAGCAGGCAGUUGAGGUUCUCCAAAUCUGUCUUGCAUAAACUUAUAAUAUAAAAGAACUUAUAGGCACCCAGACCACUUCAUCUUAAUAAGGUAAUAUGGGUGCAAUUUACUCUCCCCCACAGCCCUGCAGCUGAAAUGUUGUUGAUGUUUUCAUUGAGGGGUUAAGCUGCCCCUAGUGGCUGUCAUUCCUUUAAGUUUACAGGAGGUUUGCGUUCCCCUUACUUAUACUUUUACUACAAAGAGUCCUAUCUGGCAAUGCUGGUACAAAUCCAGAUAGUUUUGAUGGUCCUAGCUGGGUAAAGCUAGAAACUGAUAUCUGGACUGACAUACCACUAUACUCUAUCCUUUGACUUUCUACUAGUUUGAGGGCACCAGCUAUUUCAAGCUCGACAUUCAAUUAUUCUGCUACAAACGUAAAGGAUGAUCCUUUUAUUUCAGAAAUCAGAGUAUCUGAUCCCAUUCAGUGGAAGUCAGUUUCUCUAGCGGAUAUCUUGAGGAUUAGACACUUGAGAACCUCUGAGAUAAGGGCGCGCACAUGGAAAAGAGAGAGAAGUAAUGAUGAAAGAUUAUAAAGAAAAGAUUUAUGGAAGAAGGAAAAGAUACAAAAGAAAGUGCUUAAUAUAAAAGGAAAAUGUCUAGCUUUUCAGGUAGUAGAAACACAAGAUAAUUUGGAUGAGAAAAGAUAGGAGAAAUUGGAAAUAAGAAUAUAACCAAGGCAGAAAUAGAAUAUUGAGAGGGAGAAUAACAAGUAGCUCUGAGGCAGAUUCAGUCAUAGAAGCUCCCAUUAGAAUGUAAGCCUUUUUUCGAGCAGGGCCCUCAGCAGCUUUUGUUUCUGUAUGUUCAGCAAGUCUUGUUGCGACUGCUUGCUUGUUAGUCCUUAAUUAUCUACAACUCUGUGGAACAUGAUGGCAUUUUUUAAAUAAGAAUAAUAUAAACUGUAUAGGAAGAAAAAAGAAUAGCUAGCUUUGGUGGAAUACAGGAACAUGAUCUUGGGAAAAGCGACAAGUAACUAGCUCUUGAGAGAGAAAAGAGAUCUGGGAAGUGAGAAGAAAGAAUAGCAAGCUCUUGAGGGAAAAGAGUUGUCAGAGUUGGGAUGAAGAUGGCUCUACAGUUAAGGAUAAAAAUAAUAAAAUAUAUCAAAGUGUUUAACCACGAAUGGUUAAAUAAGCUUGACGUUAGUUUUCAAAUCUGUACUAAAGUUCUAGAUGUUAUUAUUGUUCACUUUAUCAACUUUGGAAUGAUGAAAGACUAUGUUGACAUUGCCUGGAAUCGAACCUCUGACUUGAGAGAGAAAAAUUCUAGGGAGGGAGAAGAGAGUGCUGCUAGUACUGUCAGAGAGGACGAAAGCAUCAUUGUGAGAAAUAAGGGCAAUGAUGGAAGCUGAAGGAGCAGAAAGCAGACAAAGAAUCAAGGGAAGAGAAAACUGAGACAGAAAUUCCAUCGUGUGAACAUAAUGUUGUUGAAGAUAGAAAAGGAAGAGAAUGGUCCGCAGGGAUAGGCAACCACCAUCUCUCCAUAUUUUAAUGAACCACAAUGUCAGGUUGCUAUAGGAUCAAAUACUGGAGGGAGGUUAUCAUAAAAAAUGAUCUGGAAGAAAAUCUGUAUUAUUAUUAUUUCGCUGUCAUUUUAUUUUUUCACUAUAUCCUAAUCUCUUCUCAUGUUUUCUUUUAACACAGUAGCAGUUCUGAGCUACCUGCUGGUCUGUUUACAUUACUUGUGGCUUCAUUUUCAUUGAACCUAGCGAUAUUGUUGCCAAUACGCUUAUUAUGCAGUUGGUGUUUUUGGAGCCAGACAUAUGCCCUCUAAUUUCCAUUCUUUCCUUAUUGUGCCCAACCUGAAGCCAGCUAAUACACUCCUUAUCUCUCUUGAUCCUUGCAGCUGUUAAAGUGGCACUUUCGUGAAAGAAGUCACCUUGUACAAAUGAGUACUUGGGGUUGUGUGCUUUCAUCUAGCUGUUUUAUUACUUCCAGGAGGUAUGUAAUCCAUUUGUUGAUAAGAUCAGUUUGAUAACCUCUUUACUAUCAAGGAAACAAAGAACAGAAAAGCUUUAUAAUAAGAAUCCAUAUAUUAAAACAAAGCUUGUAUAUUUCCUUUAAUAUUAUUAUUUUAACAUAUUGCUUUUUUAUUUUUGUUUUCAUAUUUUGCCUGUAUGUUGUCUUUUUUGGCAUGUUUCAGGCUAUUACUUUGUAAGUGUUGGAAAAUGUACAUUUCUUUCCAAGCCAGUUUUGUCACUGGAGGCAACUUUGGGGUUAAACCGUUCAUCAGUUAGAUGAUGUUGUUUUGGUGCCUUCAGUGUCCCUUUAAGAGAACAUUCGUAGCUCUGCAAUAAUAUAUGCGCUUUGCAUAGGUUAUGGUGUUGGGAGGUCCCAUCUCCCUGUCUCUCUGCAUUUGCUGUAACUAUAACUUUAACGCCACCUUCUUAGUGAGAGAUAUCCUUAGAGCAGGGGUAGACAGUCGCUGGCACUCCAGAUGUUGUGGACUACAACUCACCUGAUGUCUUGCCAGCAUUGUAGAUAUAAAGAACAACAUGGAAGAUGUAGUCCAAAACAUCUGGAGUGCUGAAGGAAUCUUCCCCACAUACUGUGUCAGGAACCAUCAUAGCUCAUUGUGAAGGAAUGUCAGCCGUAGUCUAAUGCAUGCACAGACACACUAUCACAUCUAAAAGCUGGCAAACUGUGAGUGGAGCUUACAUCAAGCCGAUAUUAGACAGUGCAGCUGCUGUCAGCUUAGGCAGAAAUGUUGUUUAUCCUUUGCAAUUAAAGAAAUACUAUAGUGUUAGGUAUAAAAAUCUUUAUUACUAACACUAUAAAACUACAAGGCUUUACAUUUCAGGACUAAGGGCAAUAGGGGCACUGUACUCAGACCACUUCAGUGAGCUGAAGUGGUCUUGGUGUCUAUAGUGUACCUUUAAAUAAAUGUGACAGAAAUGCUUGCUGCUAACGUUUUUAUGGGGCAUUAUUAGUUCACUUAAAAAUAUAAUAACUCCGAAAGAGAUGGAGUCAAAUGUAUUGAAGCACUCUUCCAUGGACAAUAUGCCUUGAGUACAGUUCGCACCGUAUGUGUGAGCUUGGUGAUGCUCUCAUGAAAUGCUUGUUACCAACAUUUCUCUGGUGGCCAUUUUUUAGGGUCAAUAACCAAAGGAGUGGGACCCAAAUUCAGGAAUAUCCAGUAAGAGGUGUGGAACAGAACACAAAUUUCAGGGAUAUUCAUAUAUUCACCCACAAUUCUGGAUAUAAUUUUCAAAAAUACAUAUUUUAUCAAAUGUCAGAUCUAGAAAAGUAUAUAACCCUGCAUGUUUUUGCUGUUGAUGGGUGGAAGAAAGUUCAGUAUAAUGCAAAGGACUUUGGAAAGUACUUCUGCUGAGGCAUCGUUUUAUGGGGUGUAAUAAAAGUAAUGAUGUCCUUACUCCUCUGGCCAUUAUAAUGCUGUCCAUAGUAUGGAUCACACAUUUCCUGUGUUUUAAAGAGCUACUCUUACGUGCAGUGGUGUUUAAUAUGAAAUGCUCUGACCAAUAUGUAGGGAUCUGUUCAAAGUUUGCAGUAUUCUUUGAAAUAAAGUCUCUUACACAUUUAACUUUUUGAGUUAAUAUUUAAGUAAUACAUCAAGCACCAUAACCACUACAGACUACAAUGUGCUGUAGUGGUUAUCGGGAUAUACCAUUUAAGUAGUCAAACUGGUAACAUUUGGCUUCUUACCUGAGGUAAAAACUAAUCUCCCUCAGCCAAUGAGCUAAGCCCUGCACUGCUGGGUUUAGCUCAAACCUGAGAACCUACAGCGAAGAGGAGGCAGGUAGUGGCACCCCAGGGUACUCCAUCUCACCAUAGUGUUUAUGGCCCGUAAAAAUGAACUAAAAAAACUGUAUCGUUCUAUUAGAAAGUUAUGGGAAAAUGGAUGGAUGGGCUUUUGGUACAGACGUGUAGCUUUGCCAGUAUGUCCACGACCUGAGGACACUGUUUCUCUUUUGACAGGGAUAAACAUUAAUGGCAAUAGCUCUGCAAGCUAUUCUGCAGUUCAAAGAUUAUAAAGGAAUAUAUCAAUUUGACUCUUACCAGUGUGUGUAUAUUCAAAUCAAUGGGGAUCCAUCAGAGGUGCACAGAGAUCCAAUUUGGGUCCCAUGCAGAGAUUAAUAGGAACCAUCACUUCUCUUGAAAUUGCGCCAUUGAGUAAAAGAGUCAGGUUUUUGUGAUGCUAUGUUUUCUUUCUAGACUAUAUUAAAGAUUUACCAACUGACAUAAUCCAGAUCACACUGGCACAGCCAGGGCACACAUGGCAUUGGAGUCAUAAAAACAAUCUUAUUUUGUUUCUGUUUCUUCACAUACUCUGUUGAAUGACAGAAAAAGGCAGAAUUUACAUGGCUGGCUGAAAAGGUUAGCGUAGAGGCACGCGGAUAGCACUAAAUAAAGCAGUAGAAAUGUCUAUAUUACAUUUUAUUUUACCUCUUAUACAUAGUUGUACAAUAUAUGAGAGAAGUGAACGUAGUAUUAAAAAUCUAAAGAAGUGACCAGUUCCCAUUUAAUAAUCAGUGCAUACUUCUGUUAAUUUUAUUUUGUUCAUUACAACAUUGAUACAUAGAAACAUAGAAUGUGACUGCAUAUAAGAACCAUUCGGCCAAUCUAGUCUUGUUUUGUGUGUCUUUUCUAGAUUUCUGUGUUAUUUAUAUAAGUACUAAAUAAUUUGUGGUGAGAUCAAAUGUGAUAAAACUCCCCACUGCUUAGCACAAAUUCAAAAUUUACUAUAUAAAUCAUCUGUAUAUCUCAAGUAGGACCUGGGGAAAAGUCUGCCUUGGGCACUGUAAUUUCAAGAUGUUAUGUUACUGCAAUUCUUCCCAGAUUGACAUGCAAAGGAGUAUUGAUAUGCAUCAUAUUUCAGACAUCAUUCUGCAUUUCUGCAGGCAUUCUUGGGAAAUAAGAACUGUUUGUGGGUUUUGAUCCAAAUGGACCAGUUUCCUGGAAUUACCUUUCCCAAAGGAGAACUCAGAUAUGUAGACGAUGCACAACCAUAAAUUCUGAUUUUGCCUAAAUCCUUGUGGAGUUUUAUUGUUUGGUCUCACCACAACAUAGUUGAUACUUAGCUAUAUGCUGACCGAAAGACUUCGAAUCCCUGACCAAACCCAGCACCACCCUGACAACACCCAUGGUUGGUUUCUGUCAUUGACCAUUUUGGAUCACAGCCCAUGCUAUGGUAUAAAUAGUUGCAUUUGAAUCAAUACCUAAUUGUUAAGGGUGUCUACAGAAAUGCAGGGUGUCUGAAAACACAAUGCCUGUCUUUGUUGAUCAAAACCCACAAGCAUUUCUUAUUUCCCAAGAAUGCCUGGAGAAAUGCAGGAUGAUGUCUGAAAUAUGAUGCUUAUCAAUGCUCCCUUGCAUGUCCAUAAAUAUGUGUUUAUGUGAUCCAUAAGGAAAUUGAUUAUAAUAAAAGUAUUAUAAUAAAAGUUGACAAUGGUUGUGCUGGUGGUUAAGCCUGUAAGAAAGAGAGCAAAAAUGAUAAAUGCUAAAUGUUUCUAUAUUUACAUAUAUGAACAAUGGUCUUAAAAGCAUGCCUAAUUUCUAGCUCUGGCUGAGGUAUGUACCUACAGUAGGCAGAGGACUUCCAACAGCCCAUCUUCUUUAGGAUUCUGCAAACCAUAUCUUCUGGAAGACUGGCUUCCAUUGUAUUGUAAUCUAGAUGAAUACCUAGAAAAGUAAUAUUGUUACAGGGACCCUGUUUUCUCUUCCGAAAUGGAGAACACGGUUCAUUAAACAGAUUAACCAUAUCAUUUAAACUGACAGGAGUGGUAUUAUGUUUCUCAACUGUUAAGUUGUCUAAGUAGUAAAUGACUAUUGGGCAUCUGCAGUUAUUAGGAAGGAGCCAGCACAGUGUUUCGGCAAAAAUGUCAGAGAUUUGGACUGCUUUUUGCCACAAAUGUAAACCUGGUAGCAAAAAUAUACUGAUUCUUCCACUUAACCACAUGCAGAUGCCUCAGGGAAGGGUGCAUGUGUAUCGUAGUAGUAUGUGUAUGUAUGUAUUUGGUAGUAGUUUAAAAGAGCUGGGUAUGUUGGUUUUACUUAACCAGGCGCUGUGACCUGUGCCAUAGAUGGCUUUAAUUGUGUCAUCCACUUUUGUGUAUUGUAAUGAGAAGUCCUCUGAAAGUAUGAGGGAAUUUAAACUAGGUGUAGUGGAAGAGUGAGGAGCUGAUAAAUCGAUUAUUAGUCUCUCUUUUUUUUAAUUGAAUUUACUAGUGGUAACGCCAAGAUGGCUAGUCCUCCAAUUGGAAAAAGAUGGUUCUUGAAAUGGGCAUAUCAUAAAACCUUUCUCUAGUUUCUUGUUUAGAAGCAGGUUAACUAAUUGGCACUUGUUGGUAGCAGACUGGAGAUUGGCACACUCAAUAGUACUUGUAGCGAGGAAUACUAAACCUGUGUGGAACCCAAAUGAAAACCCUGAAAUCAAAAAUUCCACCAAAUGAGGCAAAGGAUGGUUUGCCAAGCAAAGACUCAGCCUGUAAAUAUUCACUGAAGAUAGUUACUGUUUUGGGAACAAACAAUUAGGACACAUGGUUUUUGCAUGGACCCUGAAACACAAGGACCCACAUCCCCCUGCAUUGAAGUUGUUGAACACUUGUGCUUUUCCUAGGAAGACAAAGGGUCUUUAUCCUUCAACUCUUCUUGGACAGGUCUAAAUGUUGGAGCUGUCGGAGCCUGACUAGUAGAGGGGAGGCUGGCUUUAUUGAGGUAAAGAUUAGUGGAAUGGGUAGUGGAAAUACAUAUUGCACACACUGGUUCCUUGAGCCCCGCAAAAUGCAGCAAAAAAUUCAGUAUCAAGUUGAUCCCUAUUGGUUUUAAUGUUUAACUGGGACAUCGCAGCUGGUGCUCUAGCUGAAAAAAAAUGUAUGGUAGUCCUAAAAAAGGAAUAUUUGUGCCAUAGGUCUACCAGAUUGUGCAUAUAUAAAUACAAUUCUUCCCUGCAGUGGGCAUAAUCAGAGCAAAUCACAUCUCCUAAAAGACCAAAGAGCAAAACAAAUUCUAGGAUAGCAACAUUUUUGUUGAGCCUAAGGUUCCUUGCUUUCAUCACUACUGAGAGAUGCACAGACGUAUAUGACUUAUUGCCAAUUACGUCUUGUGAUUCUAUGAGAGACACUAAAUGAACAUCUUUCCCUUCUAAGAUGUCUAUCUGUAUGGCUAGUGGGACUAGGUGAGUGAGAGUGACAAGAUGACUUAUGUUUGGUUAGUUGCAGAUGAUGUAUAACCCUGGUAAUUAUUGCCUGAAGGGGGAGCAGAUGGUAGAUAAACUGGAGCUGAUAAUAGGUCUGCUAGGUUGGCGGACUCCAAAGUCUCAAGUCUAUUGUUUAUUGUGUUUAUGGAUACUGCUACUGAAGAAAUCAUGGCAUGUAGCUCUGUCAGUUCUGUUGGACAGUUCAUUCCUCACUGGACUCUGGCCUUGACCAGAUCUCAUCAGAUCUCAACCCUUGUUGGGAUCUCAUCAGCUGGAAUAAUUCAGCUUUUUUUGCCAUGGCUGUGUAUGCAAAGUUUCUGUGUUUUAACUCUGCUUUAAUUCUACACAUCAGACAUGUAGUGAGUAGUGAUUACUCUGUCAUUCUAUAGAAAAUAGUGUGAACUGGUUGGCUAAUUAGUACCAAGUGACAAAAUGACAUUACUAGUAUGUGACAAGUGAGACCCUACUAGUUGCCAAGCAUCUAGAGAGGCUCUAUCUAUAAGUAUGAACCAAGGGGCGUUGAGGUCACAAAUGUCGUGGCGGGGUGUUGGCCUCUCAGUUAUAAUAAUCAGAUUUCAAGACAGAUUGAGUGUGAUUGUUGGGGCUCUGACUAUACUAAUUGGAAUAUCUAAAUGAAUACAUAUUAUAUCAUUUAAAGUAUAUCUAGGAAUUCUACUAGACCUGUAACCGCUGUAAUUUAAUGCAGAGUCAAUACAUACCUUACUGUAUUUAUGCAAAGAAUGGGAAGAUGCACCUAAUAUUGUAGGAUAAAUUUAAAGUUAACUAAAGUAUAGAAAAUUAUUGGGAGAGCAGAAAUAAUAAUAAAUUGGUUUGGAUUAAUUGAAUAGAAAUGAAAAAUAGAUACCAACCUACCGAUAAGACUUGAUAAGACAGAUAAUUGACAAAUAUAAGGUAGAAUGAAUUAUAAAGUUGUAUAGCCCUAAUAGGGCCGACAGAAUUGUAGACUAUAAUAAAUUUAACCAUAUCGACCAUUUGUGGCCUUAAUUAAAGGGACACUAUAGUCACCAGAACAACUACAGCUUAUUGAAUUUGUUCUGGUUUGUAGAAUCAUCACCUUCAGGCUUUUUGCUGUAAACACUGCCUUUUCAGAGAAAAUGCAGUGUUUACAUUACAGCCUAGUGAUAACUUCACUGGCCACUCCUCAGAUAGCUGUUAGAGAUCCUUCCUGGGUCCUAUGGGGAAGCAUUGUGAUUGGAUCAGGCUACCACUUCUGAUGAUGUCAGCCGACUGCUCGUUUUUCUGAGUCUAACAGCAUGCACAGUUACAGCUUCAGGCUUGAAUAUAGUAAGAUUUUUACUAUAUUUAUGGAGGCUUGAGGGGCCCCGGGGGGGCUAGAUGGUAGUUUUAACACUAUAGGGUCAGGAAUACAUGUUUGUGUUCCUGACCCUAUAGUGAUCCUUUAACUAGAAGGCAGACAUAAUAUGUGAUACUAACCACCAGCAAGGCAUAUUAAUUAGUGUGAACAUAAUCAGGCCAAAUGUUGUCCUGCAAAAUCUUAGAUUUAAAAGUAGCCUAAAAAAGAACUUAAGUUAUUUUGAAAUCACAUGUUUAACAGAGCGGCUAAACGAUUUUACAGAUUAGCUGAAAGAGGGCUCAAUGACUGCUACAGAGCUGUCGAACAAGGGCUAAUAUUAACAAUGUGGUCAAACAAGGGACGAAUGCUUAAUACCGAUUGGCCAAACGAGAGUCGAGUGCCUGCUGCAGAGCAGCUGAAUUAGGCUCAAAAUUUAGAGUGUUAAACACAGCUGGUCUCCGAUAGAGUUGCUAGCUGAAUGGGAUCAUUGGUCGAAAGAGUGUUCGUCCGAACGUGCGGAACGGGCUAGACGAAUGUGCUGGGCCUAACGUCGAGAACUUGGCAACACCAUCAGGCGACGGCAUUAUAGAAGGUGCUGAUUUUCUGAUUAGAACCUGAGGGUUGAGUUGAGGGUCCACUGCAAAAUCGGUUUUAAAUGAAGAGGUUGUGCAUAGUUGUCAGUUUCAGAUUGCUGCAGACAGAGCAGGCAUUUCACAGUGGAAUGAGGUUUAUUUGGUUUCUGGUAGGCUUAGUGUGAGCAGAGGAGGUGAAGUGCACUGGGUUGGGAGAGACAUCACCAACUGUUAGAAGAAGUAGGAGAAACAAUGACAGGAGAUGAGAGUGGGUUUUAUAUGGAUGAGUCUAGGAUGAGAUUGUUUGGCAGUAGUAGAGAAAGAGUGCAGGGCAUGAGAUGAGUGAAGGGGACAGUGUAGCAGAUAGGGGGAAGUAUGGAGGCUGAGGGAAGUAGGGAUAAGGAGUGAUCAUAGGGGUGGGGGAGGUAAAAUUUUAAUCAUAAGGGUGGGGGAGGUAAAAGAAGAGGAGGAGAUGAGAGACAAUUGCUCAGAUAAGUGGACUUGGAGAUGGGGAAGUAGGACAAGAGUAGUGAGGAGAGGAGAUGCAGUGGUGUGCAAUGUUUGAGGAAAUAAAGGAUAUAGAAUUAAUUUGGAUAUAUGCAAACAAAUUCAUAUUUACACACACAGACCCGUACACAAACAUACUAUUUUUUUUUUUUUUUUAAAUGAGGUCCACCCUGCCUCCUUUUUUUUACCUUGAGAAGAGCUGGAGUGGAACAUCAUCCCUGAAGUCCUGGGAAUGUCUUCAGUGACUGCCCACCUCCCAGCAGCUUGGUACUGAUGCAGGGCUGGAGGUGGCAUCACGGCUCCAGCAUCAGUGCAUGAGGGAGCUUGCUAUUCAGUGCAGGUAGAUCCCAAUAGCUCCCUCAUGGCACCACACUAAAUUCCCAUUCAACAGCUGAUACAUGCCACGGUACCCCCCCUGCUUUAGGGGGAGGGAGGAGGUACUCUGUUUUUCCCAGCAAACAAAUGUGACUCCAAGUACCAGUUUAUAAUUCAAAAUGGAUACCAGUUUAUUUCUUCAAAAAAUGUAAGCAAAUUUGCACAGUAACAUUUUUUUUUUUUUAUAGCGCCUCAAAAGGAGUCACCAACUACUGCGUAUCUACGACACUCUCCUAAUCCAUUGCAAAAGUAAAUCAGGUCCUAUGACAGUUAAGAGAGAAAAAAGCAAUUUAUACUGACGGAUCUCUGCUUGCUUUAAUUGGGGCAUAAUUUCUAGUGACAUCAGACGGAUGGCUUUUGAUUACUGAAGCUCAAGAGGGACAAAUUUCAUUAUCAGUGAACAAUAGGCCUCUGUUUUGGAGAAACAGUGAUACAAUAGAGUCUCUGCAAUCUCCUCAACAGAAAUAGAUAAUGUUUCAAAUGUGUCCAAGAUUUAGUAUUAUAUACAGGUUCAGAGUGACUGAGGCUUCUAAUAAAUUAUCCGUUAUUCUAAUUAGUUUACAGUAAAAAAAACAAUUUUGGACAAAUCUCCAUGUUUUAAAAUGGAAAAGAGGAAUAAUUUAAAGUCGGAAUCUCUUGCAGUUUAAACUUUAAGAGAUUCAGUUAAAAAAGAGUGAGUCACGGGCAGUUGAAAAUGUAGAUACUUGAUUUAGGUACUCGAGUAUUAGCUAUAUAAUGCAGUUUGUUCUAUAUGAAUUGUUUCUGCUUCAGACAAAUUUAACAUGGAUUCCUUUAUUUAUUGGUUGCUCAGCAUGUCCAAAGUUGCACAGUGGCAUACACAAAGUUGCAUAGUGAAGUAGACAUAGUUGCCACAAUCUCUGACAAGAUUAUAAAUUACCCUUACUUAUUAAAAAAAUGAAUUGAUAUACUCAGCGAACUAAUAAUAGCAACACUAGUAGUUUAUUAGCUUAUUAAACUCUCACCACUGCAUUUUGUUUUAUCUUGAACACAGCAGUCGGGUGUAUAAUAGACAAAUACCCCUGUGCAGCUACCUUUAAUUGUUAUUUACAGCAAUUUCACUAAAUUAUUAUGAAUGAAACUGUUGGCAAGUGCAGAACUUCAUUUUUCAUAAACUGAUGCACACUAAGGGUUUACAGGAUAUUGAUAUGAGAGCUAACUACCAAAGCUAAAAAAAACAAAGAGCAUUUUAAUGCAUUAUGUGUAAAAUACAUAGUUCAUAUUAUAUUAGGAACACAAUUUAAUCCAUAAUAUAGAUAUAUUAUGAAAUAUAUAUAUAUAUAUAUAUAUAUAUAAAUAUAUAUAUAUAUAUAUAUAUAUAUAUAGUGUAGAUUGGAUUAGCCGUGUAAGUCCAAUAGACAAGAUGCCAAAAUACCAGAGUAUUGCAGUAUGCAAUUAUACCUUUUUUAUUGGACUAACAUAAUAUUUCAAAGACAAGCUUUCAAAGACAGACUGAUCAGUAUUGCUUCAGACCUGAGGAAGAGAGGAAAACUAUUGAAAGAUGGUAUGGGACACAGGGAGAGGAGGGGGGAAAAAUAAAGGGUAUGGUACACCUGGAGGGGAGGGGGGAGAAAUGGGGUGUAUGGUACACCUGGAGGGGAGGGGGGAGAAAUGGAGGGUAUGGGACACCUGGAGGGGAGAGGGAAGAGGGGAAUGAGGGAGAAAUGGUACACAGGGAGGGGAGGGGGGAGAGAGGUAACAAUGGGACACAGGGAGGGGAGAGGGAGAGAAAGAACAAUGUCUCAGGGGGAGGGGAAGAGAAAGAACAAUUGGACACAGGGAGGGGAUGGGGAAGAGAGGGAACAAUGGGACACAAGGAGGCAAAGAGGUAGGGCAUGGGACACACAGAGGGGAGGGAGGAAAAUGGAGGGUAUGGGACACAGCGAUGGGAGGGGGAGUGAUGGAGGGUAUGGGACACAGGGAGAGAAGGGGGAGAGAGGGAGGAAUGGGACACAGGGACAGGAGGGUGGAGAGAUGGAACAAUGGGACACAUGAAGGGGAGAGAGGGAGGGUAUGGGACACAGGGAGGGGAGGGGAGAGAUGGGGGGUAUGGGACACAGGGAGGGGAGGGGGUAGAGAGGAAGAAAUGGGACACCGGAAGGGGAGGGUGAGAGAAGGAACAAUGGGACGCAUGGAGGGGAGGGGGAGAGAGGGAGGGCAUGGGACACAUAGAGAGAAGGGGGGAGAGAUGGAAGGUAUGGGACACAGGGAGAGAUGAAGGAGAAAUGGGACACAUGGAGGGGCUGGGGGCAUGGGCGUCCGCAGGAAUUUUUCCAGGGGGGGGGGGCAUAAUUGUAAUGACAUCCAUGCUUGGUACCUUUUUGACAGUGUCAUGAAAGGGAAGGGGCAUAGCCAUUAUCACAUAAAGCCAGGGUGAAUAGCGUUUUCACAACUAUGGUGUCAGGAAUAUAUGUUUGUAUUACUGACACUAUAGUGUUCCUUUAAGCAAAUUAAAGGACAUUUCUGGUCACCAUAACAACUUCACCUAAAUGAGAAUGCUAUGAUGCCAGGAAGCCCCUGUGUGCUCGCUUUCCUUUAAGGGGUUAAAUCGCUCUCAAAUGGUUUAACCCCAAAGGCUUCCUCCAGCUCCAGGUCGCUCAGUGGUAUUUGGCUUCUGAAACAGAGUGUCAGGAAGUGCAGAUUGACGUCAGGCAUGGGUGCCGCUGACUGGCUAGAGUGGUCAGUUGACGCUCUAAGCCAAUCGCUAGUUCCCGGUUCAUAAAAUAUUUUUACUUUUUUAUGAAUGGGGAGCUACUGAUUGGCUUAGAGUGCCAGCUGACCGCUCUAGCCAAUCAGCAACACCCCUACCCAACGGCACUCUGUGCUUCCUGACACUCAGUAAAUAAAAGUGAACACAUUAACACCAAUAUUUUUUUACCUUUGGAGAUGAGAAGGUCCAGCGUUUCCCUGCCAGGCCCAGGUACCAAAGCCUUAUGAUGUGGUGUCCAGAAUAAAGUGGAGGGUUCACUUCAUUUGUCCUUCCUGCUCCAAUCUCCUUUUCCUCUCCUUCAUUUGACAGUCUUUUUUUUUCUUCUGACACUGUUUUCUAUCCUUGGCCCCUUCUGCUCUUUUACCUUUCUGCUCCUUUCUGCUUAUUUUGCGCCCUUCUGCUCCUUUCUCAUUCUGAUCCCUUUCUGCCUCCUUUUCUACUUUACCUUUGUGCUCCUUGCUGUCCCUCUCUGCUCUUUCUCCUACUUUACCUUUGUGCUCCUUCUGAUUAUUUCUGCUCCUUUACCUUUGUGCUCCUUGCUGUCCCUUUGUGCUCCUUGCUGUCUCUUUCUGCUCCUUGCUGUCCCUUUCUGCUCCUUGCAGGCCCUUCCUGCUCAUUCUCCUACUUUAUGUUUGUGCUCCUUCUGCCCCUUCCAGCUCAUUUCUGACCCUUUCUGCUCCUUCUACUUUACCUUUGUGCUGCUUUACCUUCCAGCUCCUUGCUGACCCUUCCUGUUCAUUUCUAUAUAUCUAUAGGCUGCUGCCCCACCCAAAUCUAUGGGCUGCUGCCCCCCUCUCCAAAUCUAUGGGCUGCUGCCCCCAAAUCUAUGGGCUGCUGCCCCCCCCCAAAUCUAAAGGCUGCUGCCCCCAAUCUAAAGGCUGCUGCCCCCAAAUCUAUGGGCUGCUGCCCCCUCCCCACAUCUAUGGGCUGCUGCCCCCAAGUCUAUCUGCUGCUGCCCCCCUCUCAAACCCUCCCCCCCAUCCCCCACUUACCUGAUCUGUAGGCUGUCUCUGGCUGCAUGUGUUGCUCCCCUGUUUCAAUCAGCAGAGAGAAACAGGGAUAAGAUGCAGCUUCCUAACCCUGUCUCUCUCCAUACACAGCGCCACCUACUGGCCGGCGCCGGUAUUGCAGUUCAUUUUAAAUCUCACACAAAAUAGCAGAACACGCUGAAAAAUCCAGGGAGGGGCAAGUGCCCCCCCUUACCCCCCCCUGCGGACGCCCAUGGCUGGGGGUGAGGAAGGUAUGAGAAACAUGGAGGUGCUAAGGGGAGAGGGAAUGUGACACAUGAAGGGGCUGGAUGAGGAGGAGCCUAUGGGACACAUGGAGGGGCUGAGGGUGGAGAGGGAAUGGGGCACCGGGGCCCAGUGGAUUCUAGUUACACCUCUGACUUCACUAUAAGCAGUGUCAUUAGCAUGUGAUUAACAACAGUUGCAGUUUGGCUAAUGUCAAUUCUGUACAAAUUCUUUACACGAAGGGUCAUUCAUUGCCAAGUUGACACUCUCAGCCAAUGAAUGACCAACAGAGAGCUGUGUAUAUUCUGUGCAUAGAGUGUCUUUCAUUGGCUGAAAAUGUCAAGCUAAUGCUUUUGGCCAAUGAAUGACCAGGAAUAUGAGCAUUCCAGAAGGCUCAGCGCCCAGUGGACUCACAUGUAAGAGAGCAAACCAUUCCAAACCAAUAUACCCUAUUACCAUGGAAUGGGACCAGAGUGCUCCUAGCACCAUAACCACUAAUGCAGGCUGAAGUAGUUAUGAUGCUUGGAGUAAGCCUUUAAUGGAUGCAUCUCAAGAAGCCUAGGACCUAACUAUGCCUGCGGACCCAGAUUGUAAUCAGUCUUUUGGUUCUUUAUAGCACCUCUCCUCUUUAUGACAAAUUCUCCUUUUUCUACCACUAGGUUAAUAGAUAAAAUCGAUGAUAUCAUAGAAAGCAGUGCCGAAAAUGCUUAGUUAGCAGCAUGUCUAUGAGAAACAGUACCAACACUGCCAACUCCUGUGCAUUAGGACUUGCUGCGCUGUCUACAGAUACAUUGCAACAUUCAAGAUUAUUUUUACAAAUUAAAUCUAAAUAGAAAAAGGGAGAAAAAUGGCUGACCUCCAAUUCAGUUAGUCACAGCUAGGCUAUUUUAGCCUCAGUUUUGCCAUUUGGAUUUAAUUUGCGAAAUUUCAGAGUUUAGUGAAUAAGCCUGAAAAUGUGUCUGUAAUUACAUAAAUCAUAAAUCAAAAUUGCAAUUAAAUAAAAACAAUUAAAUAAAACAUAGUUGGUCAAAGAGUACCUUUCAAAACUGACUUAAAAGACCACUAUGGGCACUCAUAUUACUUCAUCUCUAUAUAGUGGUCUGGGUCCUUUUAGCCCUGCAAUGUAAAAUAUUGGGGUUUUGUAGAUAUGCCAAUCUUUAAUUGCAAGGCUAACUGCCUUACUGACAGCAUUAGAAGGUGCUUCCGUUGCUAUAACUCGGUCAGACUCGGUUAUGUGAUGUUCUUCAUCCUCACACAUUGCAUGAAUGACCUCAAAUGCUUAUCAUUGGGAAGUAUUGAAUUCAAUGCUCCCCUAUGAAGCCCAUUUUAAUGACUGAGGUCUGUGGAGGAUCCUGUGAUACCAUGGGAUCCUUCACAGAUAAUGAGUGCUUCCUUGUAGCGGUCACUAGUUAUGACUGGGGAGAAUGACAAAACUUGACUGCAGUAGUUCUGCCUUUUGUCAAGUUUUGUCAAGUGCAGGAAAUAUAUUAAGACAAAGUAGUCCCUACUUUCUCUCAGUAUAUUGUGUGACUGUGUUGGAAUUUCAGUGAAAUUUCAACACAAUGUGAGUAUUUCACAUGAUUUAGAGUACAGCUAUUAUAUCUCUGCAGCCAUGAUGGUGACUGCUGGGAGAUUGACAUUUCAAGAUGGCGGUAGCUCCACCCAGUGUCAAGAAGUGUCAGGCAUGGGAAAUAUAAUGACACAAACUAGUCCCUACUUUAACUCAGUAUAUAUUUUAACUGAAAUUUCCCGAAAUUCCAGCACAGUCAGUGUGAGUAUUUCUUAAAGAUUUUAUAUUUGUGAAAUGCUCAGUUUGUGGUGGUGUGUGUGGGGGGAGGAGAGGGUGGUUAACAGUGCCACUCUAACUGUUCUUUCAGAAGAUAAAACAUAUCAUUAUUAUUUCUAGAUUUUAAAGCCCCAGUUUUACCAAAAUUUGUUUUACUGCUCAUUGUUUUUAUAAGCAGGAAACCAAUCUGUAUUCAGUAAUGGCUGACAAAUGUGGCAGGCUUUGUUGUGUUUCCCAGUAUGUUUUGUUUUGAUAUUCUGGGUCAAACUAUCUUGAAGUCUCGUUAAAUCCUUGGGAUAUUGUGAUAUUCUCCAUUUUAACAGUAGGAAUAAUAUCACUUGCUACAUAUGUAUCAGGGGAUCUCUCAGAACAAUAACAGUGCAUUCAUUUCCUGGCACUGCCAUCUGCUGUGUGUUUGUAUCUAACAAAACAAAUGUCUCCCAUACCCUCAGUGAACUGAUUUCCAUUCUUAUGUUGUGUAACUGUGUCGAUGCCAGGCUAAUAAUGGCAUUGUAAUGAUAGUCUUGGAAUCAAACCCUUGGGAUUCUCUAGUACCUAUUUAGUAUUUUUAAUAUAGUGUAAACACAACAAUAGUUAAUCUAUUUUUACCAUGGAUAAUAUUGUAGCUCAAUGUGCAGUUUUGCAACAAGGUGUUCUUUUUAUAUUUGGGGUAUUGCAGAUAUUGUAUCAGAAGGCAUUAAGAAGGACAAUGCUUGUUAAUUCUUGCAAACAAUUAUAGUCUGUCCGAGAAGGUUUUCAAUGCAUGAUGUCAAAUCUUAGUCUAAACACGUAAACAUAGUCAAUAUAAACCAGAUUAAUUUCUCCAGCAGGACAUUCUAAUCCAGACAUUGACAAAGCCUGGAAAAGAUACGUAACUAGAAGUAGGUCACUACGAUUCCUAGGUUAUUGAGUUCUACAUGUUCACUAGGUCCGUAUUAAUCUAGACUAAGAGGGAGACAAAUGGCUUGGAGGUAUAAAAAGACUGGUGGCAGGGAGAUUGCAUAAUUUGUAGAAACUGGAGCAUGGGGGAACAUCAUCAAUAAAAUGAAAUACAUAUUUUGUAAUUGUGAGUUUUCCAUAGAUGCAUUGAUUAAAAUAUUGCUAAAACAAUAUCAUCUCACUAAAGGGGAUGGAUCCAUGUCUUGAAGAAGGACAAUACUAAACUAUAAAUAGUUAUAAACUGUUACAAAGUCUCAAGUAACCUAGACACAUUGACUGAAUGAUGUCAGGAAGUUCCACACAAGCAUACCAACACACAAACACAAACAAACUAUAUACUGGAAUUUGCGCCAUAUGUCUGUUCAACCGUAAUUCACCACUGUCACAUUAAGUGCACCCACACUUAUUAUAUAUCAUUUUGUUCAGGAGAAACAGGGCUUUAAAUUAUCAUUAACUAUUCAUAUAUGGAACAUAAUUUAUUAUGAAUAAAAUUUAAUAAAAUGUGAUAAAAUAAGAUUAUUUUUUUUUUAAAUUUGCAUUAACAUCUGACAUUUUAGCUGUAAAUGUCAUAAUACUGUUAGGUUUUACUGCAAAAACAUGCACAUAUUUGUAAUCAGCAAUGUCUCACAAGUACAACAGUACCCCCCAUUAACAGGUUUUAUGGUGUUUUUGAAAGUUACAGGGUGAAAUAUAGAACGUUCCAUUUUCAAAUUGAAAUUUGCCAGAUUAGUAAUGUUACCUUUGAGACGGUGUGGUAGCCCAGGAAUGAGAAUUACCCUCAUAAUGGCAUACCAUUUGAAAAAGUCGACAACCCAAGAUAUUGAAAGUGGGGUAUGUUUAGUCUUUUUUAGUAGCCACUUAGUCACAAACACUGGCCAAAGUUAGCGUUCAUAUUUGUUUUUGUGUGAAAAAAGCAAAAAACUAAUAUUUGGCCAGUGUUUGUGACUAAGUGGCUACUAAGAAAGACUGGACAUACCCCACUUGCAAUACCUUGGGUUGUCUACUUUUGCAAAUGGUAUGCCAUCAUGGGGGUAAUUCUCAUUCCUGGGCUACCAUACGCUCUCAAAGGCAACAUAACCAAUCUGGCAAAUUUCAAUGUCAAAAAAAUGAAAUGCAAGCCUUAUAUGUGACUCUCUAACUUUCCAAAACACCAUAAAACCUGUACAUGGGGGGUACUGUUAUUCUCGGGAGACUUCACUAAACACAAAUAUUAGUGUUUUAAAACAGUAAAACAUAUUACAACAAUAAUAUAGUCCAUAAAAGUGCAGUUCGUUUGUAAAAAAUGCAAAAAACUUCACUUUUACUUAAAAUAUCAUCAUUGUAAUACAAUUUACCAGUUUGAAACACUAAUAUUUGAGUUCAGCGAAGUCUCCUGAGUAAAACAAUACCCCCUAUGUACAGGUUUUAUGGUGUCUUGGAGAGUUACAGGGUCAAAUAUAGUGCUUGCGAAUUAAAUUCUCUGCACUUUCUCCCUGUGUUGUCAGGCAUGUCAAUCAAAUUUGUAUUAAUCAAAUCACAUAAUUAUGUUAAAAGAUUACUUAAAUAUACAUGUAGAAUUUUAAUAUAUAUGCAUUUAUAGGUAUUUAAAUUCUAUGUGUAUACCAAUGUCAUCUUUUAUGUAAUUAUAUGUAUUUAUCUAUAUAUAUAUUUGCGGUUAUUUGUAUUUGAUAUAUAGAUAGAUAUAUAUAGAAUGUCAUUCUAAGUGUAUUUUGUUACCAAUAUAUAUAUAUAUUAAUAACAAAAUACAGUUAGAAUGAAAUUACAUAUGAAUAUAUAAUUUAUAUUAAAUUUUGUUUCAAUAUUUUAUUUAUUUAUUUUAUUAUUUUAUUUAUUUAUUAUUGUAAUUAUAUGUAUAUAUAUAAUAUAUGUGUAUAUAUCUAUUAUAUGUUACGUCAUUCUAAGUAUAUUUUAAUAAUAAUAUAUGUACUUAUAUUAAUAUUAAAAUACACUUUGUAUGACGUUACAUAUAUAUAAUAUGUAUAUAUAUUAUAUGUAUAAUAUAUAUACAUAUAUUAUAUAUAUAUAUACAUACAUUUCUAUUUUAUUUUAUAACGUUUUAUUAUUUAUUUAUUUUUUAGUUUCCCACCAGCAGGGGGAUUGUCUGACAUUUUAGACAGUUCCCCUGCUGGCAGAUCCACAGCCAGCUAUAGGGGGCCAUGUGAUCGCUCUUUGAAAGCGAUCACAUGGCCCCCGGGGGACUCAUUUGCCGGGGGAGGGCUGCCUGGGCUGUCAGGCAGCCCUCCAGAAGAGGAUCGCGGCGGAGGUAAGUGCACCGGACCUCCAGGGGCUCAAAGCCGUUACGGCGCUCUAUGCCGCCGCAGCGGCUUUAAAGCCCUUUUAAUGCGGGACGGCAUUGAACACCGUAACGGCGUUAAGGGGUUAAAAAUGGGUCAUUCUGAGAGCUUAGUCAAUUCAAGCGUGAUACUGUGAUGUAAUGACACUUGUGCAAUAAGUCAGUUUGUGAAAUUUCAGCUCUGCUAGAUAUUUGACUGUCAUGAAUAUGAAGUGCUACGCUCCUUUUAUCUACUACCCUACCCUUAUGCACUAGACUGCAUAAACCAUUAACCACUACACUAACACUGUCACUAAACGUUAACCUUAUUCUGCACUAAAUGUAACAUAUAAGAUAUCGUCUAAUAUAGAACAUGUAUUAUGAGAUAAUAGUGCCAUCUCAGGGUCCUGGAGAACUAUGGUCUUGUGGUUUAUUAUGAUGUCUCGGAGUGAAAAUUCUUUUCCCAUAAUGCACAUUUUCACUUUUAUGCUUAUUCUGUUUCACUCCCAUAGUACAUAGUACAUGGUUUAACGUAUUUAUACCUUAAACCAGCAAACGUAAUGUAGUGUAAAACCACAGUAUAAAGAUGGGCAGAGGAUCAAGCAGCCUGGACGCACAUGUUGUAUGUUCCUUUGUCAUGUGGAUUUUCCAAGGUUAAGGGGAGAUGUGCAAUUGGAUAUUAGUGCAUACAUGUACAUCAUUAUCCACACCAGUUAUGCCAAGGAAAGCGACUUGAGCUAGGGAUUAGCUGAGAGACUGCAGACACUUCUUAGAUGAUUGUUUUAUGUAUUACCCCUAUUAUUUGUGUGCAGGGGCUAUUUACUAGAGUGUGAAUUUAUGUUAAUUCAAACUUAAUUUAAAAUUUUAGGUUCAUACCAACAGAUUUGUGGUGGGGAAAAAAGUGUGGAUGAAAACUUCUUCCACCUGAAGUAAGUGGAAAGUUAAUACAUUGCUAAACACAAAUACACACACCAAGCAUGCCAUAAGACUUGUUUUUCCCACAUAAAUCUCACUUUAACAGUGCUCUCACUACUGCAAGGGGUUCUGGAUAGGCAUAUGCAAAUGAGUUUAACAAAGAAUUCCACUUUAUACAUGGAUUGCUUAGAGUAUGUGUCUGCUGUAUACAACAACUUUGAAACACAACUCAGGAAGAGGAGCAAAGCCAAUGAACCACUCAUAGACAGCUGUUUUGUUAAUGCAACUCAUCAGCAUGAGGUUGGUUACUGGCUUGCUAUGGAGGCUUGGCGUUACUUGUAAAGUACAUACCAACAAAGUUGUGGUGGGGAAAAAAGUGUGGAUGAAAACCCCUUCCACCUGAAUUAAGUGGAUAGUUAAUACAUUGCUAAACUCAAAUACACACACCAGGCAAACCAUUAGACUUGCUUUUCCCACAGAAAUCUCACCUUAACAGUGCUCUCACUACGGCAAGGGAUUCUGGGUAGGCAUAUGCAAAUGAGCUUAACAAAGAACCACAUUUAAAUUUUAGGUCAAAAUAGCUAAACUGAAAACAGCAGACUUUUGUUUUGAACGGACAACAAUUGACACUUGAGUGUGUUGAAUCCAACCGAGAUUGUCCUUUCAUAUGUCUCUUUAACAUUGUAAAUGGUGAUAAACUCUGCAUUCAGGGGAAGCGUAGUAUAUACUGCCAAGUGGAAUCUACGCUGAGUGGUUAAACUCUACACAGUAUAAAUGGUCAUGUCAGUACUGAAAAGACAGACAGUUGAUAUUUUUGAGGUGAUGGGAGAAGAGAAGUACCCUCCUUAUCAUGGUCCUUAGGGAUUCCUUGUCACUUGGAUACUUAAGCUGAGAGCUGUUCCACUUAUCUGCACUGCUACAUGGGAUGAUGCACAGAUCUCAGGCAGUUAGAAGAUGCAAGUAAAUCACAGGAAAAAAAACCAUCUUAUUGAAAGCUGUCCCUUGUUGUGGCUGUGUUCUGCUCUCUUACACUGUAAUGUACAAUAUCACUCCAGGCACAGUGAAGAGAGGGGCAAGUUUAACUCUUUAUUGUCAGGAAAAUGUUUUGUGGUUUUUUUUUCCAGCACUGGACUGGGUGAACAUGGAUAGUACUAUUGGCACAGAACUACAUCUCCCAUGUUCUACAAUCUGCAGAUUUAUGUAACAUUGAUUUAUUUUAAAUUCUCUAGUAUCUCCUAUCGUGUCCACUUUGAACCACUCCAAAGAUGGACCAGGGUGAAAUUAGCAGAUGUAGGCGAUGGGUAUUCACAGAUGAGCUAUCACUUUCAAUCAGCUCAGAGCCAGAGGUGCCUGGGCAUGAUAGGAGUUAGAGACUCAGAACAGCUAAAAAUUGUCAUCCCAACACAGGUAUUAUGGAUUAGUGAAUACACUCACCUAUAUACAUUUUAUUGGUCAUGUUUUAAACACAUAAAAUAGUUCAUUCACUAAAGAAUGAAUUAUGAUGAGCUGAAAGUUAAAUUGACAAAAUCUAUCUGAAUAAUUUUAUAGAAGGAUAUUUAACAGAGAGAGCACACUAUAAGUAAAGCAGAAAACAACUCAAACCAAAAUAAUGAAGAGACAGGGUGCUCACUAUAUGCCUCUGUUCUCAUUGGAGUCUGUAAAUACAACCCAUAGAGAAUGAAUAAGGAGCACACCCCAUGAAAAGUAACACAAUUUGUAUUAGAUUAAUCUAUAUCCAUACAUGAAUGUACAUCUGGAUAAAUAAAAAAGAGUGAUACACUAUACAUAAAUUAAAAUCAUAACAUAUAUACAAUGAAAACAAAAUAAAUCCAAAGAAAGAAGCACAAAACCAAUAAAAAUUAAUCAUGAAAAAAAAUAUGACAAUAUAGGUGUCUGGAUUCAUACCAAAUGAAAGACCAGAUAACACAAGAAAACAGUGUGAGAGGCGAGGGAUAACAGAGGGGGAAAAAAUAAAAGACUGCAAUCCCAAUGUUGUGGCAAAACUGCCCUUUUCAAGGGAGCAUGAAUAAUUUAGAAAAUCAAAGGUUUCCAGCAGGUGUGUUGACUUAAAUGUGACAGUUUUGGUUUUCAGGUCAUCUCAAUUCACUGUUUAGAGAAUAAACGUCUUUCUAAACAGAUCUUGUGAUCAACCAGCUGUUUUGAAGUAUAUAGAACAUAGUGCAUUUGUUACGAGAGCAUGCUCGAAUCAGGCAUCCGUGCCCUAUGUACCACAUGUUGAGUGCUGCUUUACUCAGACUAAUUGUCGCCACAAUUUUUUACUAGAAGUGCAUGGAUUCAUUCAUAUUCCAAAAGGAAAACUGAAAGGCAGCUUCAAGGCAGGAUCUGUGAGCUGAAUAGGAAAAUGAAACAGAGAUAUGUUUGUCAAGCUGCAUUAGUUUGUCAUUUCCUUUGCUGUCUGUCUGUCUAUCUGUCUGUCCGUCUGUCCGUCCGUCUCUGUCUGUGUUCUUUCUGCCUCUUCUCAAUAUCAAGUCCCACGUACGUGUAUUCCAUAGUACUUUUACUUUUAUGUCUUCGCUUUCUUAGUUUAAUGGCAAGAAUCAGAUUGCACCAUCCGGUGCUUAAAAUCAGGUGCUGCCUCCUCCAUUCUGUAUUCAAAUAUAAAAUACCUGGCCCAUAAAAGUCAGUAUGCAGACUUUGUCAGCAAAUCUUGACAGGGGAUGAGUUUGAAACAUAUCGUGUCUGUUGGUGUUACAUUUUCUAUAUUGACCUUUUAUGUGCCAUGCACAUUUACAGUUAUCUCUAAAAUGUUCUUUUUCAAAGUGUCCAUUUGAUGCAUCACAACUCUAUUCUUGAAAUAACCUGUUCUCCCUGAUCCCAGUCAUCAUUGGUUAAAGGUGCCCAUGCUCUUCUUUAGGAAUUAGAAAAAACCUCCUGCAUUGUUGUAGAUUUGUGUUUCUCUUUCUGUGCAUGGUCCCAUAUCCCAGGGAGCAAUUUUUUUAAAAAGAAAUUAUCUCCUCUAAGGAAUUCUCCUUUGUGCUUGGUGUCUAGUAGGGACAUUAUUUCUGUUGUUUUUUUUGUUGCAACAUCGGCAGUAAGUAAACCCCUACUUCCGGAAUGCCAUACAGAGCAGGAAUAGCCAUAACUUUAGAUGGCUUACUACAUCACAGCGGUUAGACUGGAACAUACAUUUGUUUGGACCCAUCCACCAUCCCUAUGUGAAGAAUGAAGGGCAAGGGAACCAAACAGAUGUCUUACCUAGGGCCCUGUGGGAUCGUAAUCCUUCUCUGGAGCCAAAUCCCAACCUAAAAUGAUGAAUCAGAGGUAAGGGCUCUAAAAGAAGCCCAUUAUUGCCUGCCCAAAGCAACCAGGACUAUAUAGGUCUGGUUGUAACUAACAGAAGGAAGAAGAAAAGGUACAUCUGUUCAAUCUUUAACCCCUUAAGGACACAUGACAUGUGUGACAUGUCAUGAUUCCCUUUUAUUCCAGAAGUUUGGUCCUUAAGGGGUUAAGCGGCCAAGUGGAGGGGGAGAUGGUCAUAUCCUUUGCAUGAUUGAGGCAUCGGCAGCUACAGAGGGUGAUAUAGUUUUGGUUUAAAAAGUGUUAAUACAAUAUUUGAUCUUUGUUAAAAAUAUAACCAGCUACUAAUUAGCUAUUAAACUAUGUAUCUGAUGAUAAACUGUACAGCUAGUGAGACUUGUACGUAAAAAGUGUCCCUCUUAAAGGUAUACUCUAAGCAUCUAUACAACUUAAUGAAGCAGUUUUGAUCUAUAGAUCAUGCCCUUGCAGUCUACCUGCCAUGUAGGAAUUAAAUCAGUUUUGUUUCUGUUUAUGCUGUCCCAGCCAUACCUCACUGGUUAAGACUCGCACAACUUCUGCGAACAAAUUUUUUUUUAAUCAUGUGAUUUUUCUCUAGCAGGCUGUUAACAGAGCAGGGGAUUUCUAAAUAAUCACACUGUCCAUUAAAUUAAAUUUAGAAAUGAAAUCUCUCUUUACAAGAACUGUGUAAUUCACAGUCAGGGGAACAGUGGCCAUGGCUGCAUAAACAGAGGAAGUUAAAUAAAGCCAACUACUACAGUCUAAGCACCAAAACACCUUUAGCUUAAUUAAGUGGUUUUGGUGUAUAGAUCAUGGACUUGAAGUCUCACUGCUAAAUCACCUGCCAUUUAGAAGUUAAAUCUCUUUGUUUAUGCAACAUUGUUUUGGUGCUUAGACUGUCCUUGUAGAAAACAAACCACUGGUGUUCCAGUAGUUAAACUCCAAGAAAACAUGUCUUAUUUGCGCAGGGGUUAAAAAUAAAUAAAGAGAAAUCCAAGAUCGAGACUGAGUAAAGUGCCUUACAAGAACAAAUGCAAGUUUUGGACCAAUACUUUGGUCUAUAUGUUUCCUUAUGAAAACGUUAUCAAAAUGUAUCCCUUUUCAUUUUCUAGUUUUGUAGACUAGUCUUAUAAGCUACUAGCCACUGGAACCCUGGAGGGUUCAUUGUACAAGGAAUUUCUGCUCGACGGGGGUAGUGGCCAGUAAAACAUUUUCAGCCUUGCGUUAGUGUACCCCUUUAAGCCAUCUGAAAUGACUGCCUUUAAACAAUAUCUCUGCUGUCUAUUAUUCUCUCUAUAGAUCUUCAUAAUUCAUCAAUCCAUAAAGCAAUUCAAAGACUAAGACCCACACACCAUAUGCCUUUAACUUCUAUUCACUUUAGCAUUGAACCUAAAGUCAUUGAACAACUGAUCUGUGCAUGUUACAUGCACUUUGAGUCAUCCAGACAUUAUGUGCAUGAAAUUGUUUAUUUACUGUUGAAUUCCCUUGUCACCUGGCUAUGCAAUAUUUUUUUUAUUGAUACGAACAACCAAUCUUUAUAAUUGAAUGUUCCAAGAUGCAUGUACUCAUGCCAAACUAUCCUGACUCACUGGAUUAAUUCAUUAAACCUGCAAUGUCAGAGAGCUGGAGUAGCAUCAACAAGUGUCUGAUUCAUAUGUUAGAGCCUGGCCUAACAUAGCCAAUUUUCACAAUUUUCUUCUACUUCAUGCCCUUGCUAUUGUAUACUCACCCCCUACCCCUCCCAUUUUAUCAUAUAUCCAUUUAUAUUUCACUAAUUCCCAAGGAAUAUUAGAUGCACAAUGCUGAGACAAUCUUCAGCGCAUUGUCUAGUUUAGAAUUAAGUGUCAACAUUUCAUACAUACAAAUAAAAACAUAAGACUUAAGACAUAUUUGGUAUUUUUGUUUUACAUUGUGUGUUCAUAAAACAAAUGCAAUUGAAAAGCACAGAAGCAAGAUAUACAGUUAUCUGGGAUAUUUAAUAUCGAUUAAAUUAUGUUUCAGGUGCAUCCUGUUGACAGUCCCAUUUAGUCUUUGUCAAAAGAUGGCACAGGUGACAUCCCAUAAUAUGAUUUGGCAGAUAAAAAGCACACAACAAUGAACAUGGCAGCACGCAGCGAGGAGCCAUGAUGUCCAGAACCAAAACGAUAUUGCUUGAACAUAUCAGUGAAAUUUUAUAAGCAAGGACAGCCUGCAACAACUCUGCGAAAUUAAAG